UGGGGAAUUUUGGACAAUGGGGGCAACCCUGAUCCAGCCAUGCCGCGUGAGUGAAGAAGGCCUUCGGGUUGUAAAGCUCUUUCGGACGGAACGAAAUGGUCAGGGUGAAUAUCCCUGACUGAUGACGGUACUGUAAGAAGAAGCACCGGCUAACUACGUGCCAGCAGCCGCGGUAAUACGUAGGGUGCAAGCGUUGCUCGGAAUCACUGGGCGUAAAGGGUGCGUAGGCGGCUGUGUAAGUCUGGCGUGAAAGCCCAGGGCUCAGCCCUGGAAGGGCGCUAGAAACUGCGCGGCUAGAGUGCCGGAGGGGAGAGUGGAAUUCCUGGUGUAGCGGUGAAAUGCGUAGAUAUCAGGAGGAAUACCGGUGGCGAAAGCGACUCUCUGGACGGCAACUGACGCUGAGGCACGAAAGCGUGGGGAGCAAACAGGAUUAGAUACCCCAGUAGUCCCUGAGCGGGCUGGCAAGGCGCAU
RNAcentral lists this ribosomal RNA (472 nucleotides) under uncultured bacterium. Its description in RNAcentral is "bacterial SSU rRNA". It matches the Rfam family "Bacterial small subunit ribosomal RNA", at positions 355 to 825 of the family's 1533-position model. The record is from RNAcentral.